This 110-nucleotide ribosomal RNA is filed under the name Geobacter sp. SVR. The record is from RNAcentral. Lineage: Bacteria; Pseudomonadati; Thermodesulfobacteriota; Desulfuromonadia; Geobacterales; Geobacteraceae.
GGUGGCUAUGCCGAGGGGGCCACACCCGUUCCCAUCCCGAACACGGAAGUUAAGUCCCUCAGGGCCGAUGAUACUGCACGGGCAGCUGUGUGGGAAAGUAGGUCGCCGCC